RNAcentral lists this long non-coding RNA (1544 nucleotides) under Ricinus communis (castor bean). RNAcentral describes it as "long non-coding RNA (RCOM_LNC000833)". The record is from RNAcentral. Lineage: Eukaryota; Viridiplantae; Streptophyta; Magnoliopsida; Malpighiales; Euphorbiaceae.
GACACAACUUCUUCAUGUCUUCUCUUGCCUUCUUAUUAUCUUUAAUUUUUCUCUCAAUAUUCAGAACAGUGUUAAGAACAUUUUCAAACACAUUCUUCUCAAUUUGCAUCACAUCUAGGUUAUGUCUAAUGAGUUUGGAACUCAGUAUGGCAAAUCUCAAAAGAUACUUCUUUUCUUCUAACCGCACUCCUUGCAAAUGGGACCAUUAAUCUCUUUAGCAUCAAGUUUAUUUACUCUCCUAAGUCCUAAAUCAUCUAUCUCUUGCAAGAUUUGAUCACUUAUCCUUAUAGUUGGUGCCGGUGAUAUCUCCUUUCUAUUUUUCAGGAGCCAAUUUUUAUUCCAUCUGAAAGGAAGAUCAAGGGGAAGAAACUUAUGAUGAUUGUCUAACCAAGAUGUCUUUCAACCAUUUUUUUCAAACUAAAUGCUUGCGAAUGUCCUAUACAAUAAGGACAUGCAAGUUCCCAGCCAUGCUGUAGCCUAACAACAUUGAGUAUGUAGGAAAAUGACUUAUGGUCCACAUAAGAGCUGCUCUCAUUUGAAUAUUCUACUAUCUAGACACAUCACAUGUUUGGACACCCACAUCCCAAAGAUACUUCAAUUCAUCAAUCAAAUGUGGAAGAAAACAUUCAUCUCGUUUUUAGGAUUAGUUGGCCCAUGAAUAAUUACAGAUAAGAACAUGUAUGCCUCUUUCAUACAUACCACAGAGGUAAAUUCAUGGCUAAUCUUGCCAUCAGCAUUAAGCCUAGUAAUAAUAAAAAAAAAUAACAAUAAAUAAAAUUACUUAUUUACACCAAUGACUAAAUAACAUGCUUAUGCAUUUAGUUACAAUAUUAAAAUUAAAAAUAAAAAAAAUAUUAAUCUGCCUAUUAAUAGGGUUGGUAUUUGGUAAACCAAUCAUUAACAAUAUAAACCUGCCUACCAAUAUAAGUAAUUAAGUUUCACCGAUCAUCCAAUACAAUCUAGGAGUCAAAGAUGAUCAACCAAAAAAAAUGCCUCAAUAGGUUAACAAAAAAAACAUUAUUAAGCUAAAAUGAAAAAACUUUAUUAUAAUCUAUCUACCAAUAAUCAAUAAGGUGGAAAGUUACUUGCCCAUAUCAUCAGUUUCUAAAGAUUCAUUAACAUAACUAUUAAAAAAGAAAGAAAGAAAAAGAGCCCAAUUUAUAUUUCUUGCCUCCCUACUAAUAGUGAUAAUAAUAAUAAUAAAAUAAAAUAAUAAUAAUAAUAAUAAUAAUAAUAAUAAAUAAAGAAAUAAGAUUUGAGGAAUUUAUUGCUCGAAGUCAACCAUCUCUACCAUCCUUCUCUUUCGUCGUUCUCUCCUAAAUUGUUACAUUCAAGAUCAACAAUAACCAAAUUAAUUUUAUUUUUUAAGAAAUUAAACGAGAGUUGUUGACCAAUCAACUCAUAUCUAGUCCUUGAUAUGACUUUAGUUUAUUCAUCUUUCUUUAUUUUAUUUUUCAUAUUUAGCUUCUAGUUUCUUCUUCUUAUGGAAUGAGUGCUUUCACGCUAUAAAAACUACAUGCAACUGAAUACUUGAGGCUAGUAAG